UCGCCUGUUUAUCAAAAACAUGUCCAUUUUGGUUUAUAUAAAUGGUCUGGCCUGCUCACUGGUUUGUUAAUACUAAAGAGCCGCGGUAUUUUGACUGUGCAAAGGUAGCAUAAUAAUUAGGUCUUUAAUUGGGAUCUUGUAUGAAUGGUUAGACAAGAGAAAAGCUGUCUUCUGAAAUAAAAAUUGAAUUUAACUUUCAAGUGAAAAGGCUUGAGUGUUUAAAAGGGACGAUAAGACCCUAUGAAGCUUAAAUACAAUAUUUAAUAUUUAAUAGAGUUAAAGAUAUAAGAAUUUUAUUUUAAAUGUGUAUUUCGUUGGGGUGACGUGAAUAUAAUUAGAAUUGUAACUGUUCAAUAAUAAAAUACAUAUAAUAGAUGAUUAAGUUGUAAUAGAUCCUUAGUAAAGAUAAAAGGUUAAGUUACUCUAGGGAUAACAGCGUUAUUUCUUUUAAGAGUUCAUAUCAAAAAAGAAGUUUGCGACCUCGAUGUUGAAUUAAAAUGUCUUUAUAGUGCAGCCGCUAUAAAAGAAGGUCUGUUCGACCUUUAAAUUUUUACGUGAUCUGAGUUCAGACCGG
RNAcentral lists this ribosomal RNA (574 nucleotides) under Hepatus pudibundus. Its description in RNAcentral is "partial 16S ribosomal RNA". It matches the Rfam family "Bacterial large subunit ribosomal RNA", at positions 1796 to 2619 of the family's 2925-position model. Lineage: Eukaryota; Metazoa; Arthropoda; Malacostraca; Decapoda; Calappidae. The record is from RNAcentral.